GACGAACGCUGGCGGCGUGCCUAAUACAUGCAAGUAGAGCGCUGAAGGUUGGUACUUGUACCGACUGGAUGAGCAGCGAACGGGUGAGUAACGCGUGGGGAACCUGCCUUUGAGCGGGGGACAACAAUUGGAAACGAAUGCUAAUACCGCAUAAAAACUUUAAACACAAGUUUUUAGUUUGAAAGAUGCAAUUGCAUCACUCAAAGAUGAUCCUGCGUUGUAUUAGCUAGUUGGUGAGGUAAAGGCUCACCAAGGCGAUGAUACAUAGCCGACCUGAGAGGGUGAUCGGCCACACUGGGACUGAGACACGGCCCAGACUCCUACGGGAGGCAGCAGUAGGGAAUCUUCGGCAAUGGACGAAAGCCUGACCGAGCAACGCCGCGUGAGUGAAGAAGGUUUUCGGAUCGUAAAGCUCUGUUGUUAGAGAAGAACGUGUGUGAGAGUGGAAAGCUCAUACUGUGACGGUAACUACCCAGAAAGGGACGGCUAACUACGUG
Molecule: ribosomal RNA, 497 nt
Filed under: uncultured bacterium
Lineage: Bacteria
Description: partial 16S ribosomal RNA
Rfam family: Bacterial small subunit ribosomal RNA
Source: RNAcentral